Molecule: ribosomal RNA, 672 nt
Filed under: Pseudovibrio sp.
Lineage: Bacteria; Pseudomonadati; Pseudomonadota; Alphaproteobacteria; Hyphomicrobiales; Stappiaceae
Description: bacterial SSU rRNA
Rfam family: Bacterial small subunit ribosomal RNA
Source: RNAcentral
AGAACGAACGCUGGCGGCAGGCCUAACACAUGCAAGUCGAACGGAUCCUUCGGGAUUAGUGGCAGACGGGUGAGUAACGCGUGGGAAGCUACCUUGUGGUAGGGAACAACAGUUGGAAACGACUGCUAAUACCCUAUGAGCCCUAUGGGGGAAAGAUUUAUCGCCAUGAGAUGUGCCCGCGUUAGAUUAGCUAGUUGGUAAGGUAAUGGCUUACCAAGGCGACGAUCUAUAGCUGGUCUGAGAGGAUGAUCAGCCACACUGGGACUGAGACACGGCCCAGACUCCUACGGGAGGCAGCAGUGGGGAAUAUUGGACAAUGGGGGCAACCCUGAUCCAGCCAUGCCGCGUGAGUGAUGACGGCCUUAGGGUUGUAAAGCUCUUUCAGCAGUGAAGAUAAUGACAUUAACUGCAGAAGAAGCCCCGGCUAAAUUCGUGCCAGCAGCCGCGGUAAUACGAAGGGGGCUAGCGUUGUUCGGAAUCACUGGGCGUAAAGCGUACGUAGGCGGACUGAUCAGUCAGGGGUGAAAUCCCGGGGCUCAACCCCGGAACUGCCUUUGAUACUGUCAGUCUUGAGAUCGAGAGAGGUGAGUGGAACUCCGAGUGUAGAGGUGAAAUUCGUAGAUAUUCGGAAGAACACCAGUGGCGAAGGCGGCUCACUGGCUCGAUACUGAC